RNAcentral lists this ribosomal RNA (254 nucleotides) under uncultured bacterium. RNAcentral's name for it is "partial 16S ribosomal RNA". It matches the Rfam family "Bacterial small subunit ribosomal RNA", at positions 524 to 776 of the family's 1533-position model. The record is from RNAcentral.
UACGUGGGACCCAAGCGUUAUCCGGAAUUACUGGGCGUAAAGAGUUGCGUAGGUGGCAGAGUAAGUUUCAAUAUAAAGAUCACGGCUCAACCGUGGGAACUAUUGGAAUACUGCUCAGCUUGAGGAUGAGAGAGGUCACUGGAAUUCCUAGUGUAGGAGUGAAAUCCGUAGAUAUUAGGAGGAACACCGAUGGCGUAGGCAGGUGACUGGCUCAUUUCUGACACUAAGGCACGAAAGCGUGGGGAGCGAACGGG